RNAcentral lists this ribosomal RNA (312 nucleotides) under Triticum aestivum (bread wheat). RNAcentral's name for it is "partial small subunit ribosomal RNA". The record is from RNAcentral. Lineage: Eukaryota; Viridiplantae; Streptophyta; Magnoliopsida; Poales; Poaceae.
AUGAGAAUUUCCAUUGAUGAGUGCAAAGAAAGAACCGCUAGGAUGCGUGCUAAGAAAGAUGCCUUUAUAAAAGCAUGUUCUUCUAGUUCCUAUGAAAAUAAUGAUGAAGAUCUAAAAGUUAUUGAUGUGUCCCCUAUCAAAUCUUUGUUUUGCAAUAUGAAUCUUGAUAAUUAUGGGACUGAAUAUGAUCCACCUUUACCUAUAAGGCGUUCCAAAAAUUCAGAAUCUUUUGAUCUUGAUGCUAAAUUUGAUAAAAGUGGGAUUGAAGAAAUUAAAACCCUAGAUGUUGCUAAACACACUAUUAUGGAUUGA